CGGGGGGGGUGGGGGGCGCCGAAGUCUGUAUGGAAUUACCUGCGCCCGCGGCGGAGCUGGCAGCGCUGGAUGGAUGGGCGCCGCGUCCGCGGCACUCGCGGCCAGCUGAGCCCCAGGAGUAAACACGGGGCUUCUCCGGCCGAGUGCGCAGUGUGGUGACCGGCACUCGCCUCGCUGACUGAUCGCACCGGAGGAAUAUUUCGGGAGACUCCUGUGGGAAGCAGCCACGGAAAGACAGAAGAUGAAAGCUCCUAUUCCCAACUUGAUUCUCUUGUAUGCUACUCUGACUCAGAGCUUGAAGGUUGUAACCAAAAGGGGAUCAGCACAGAAGUUUGUAAGGGCACAUCAACAAGUUCAACAUGGAAAGUAACUGGCUCUGAGAUACAAGGAUGAGAUCAAAAGUCACCAAAUGGCAAGUGCUUUCAUUCAGUGCUACUGACAAUGUGUGAAGGAACAAAACCAAUCAACUAAUCAAGCCCAG
This 481-nucleotide long non-coding RNA is filed under the name Parus major (Great Tit). RNAcentral describes it as "lncRNA (ENSPMJG00000011192.1)". The record is from RNAcentral. Lineage: Eukaryota; Metazoa; Chordata; Aves; Passeriformes; Paridae.